Molecule: ribosomal RNA, 354 nt
Filed under: Streptantibioticus cattleyicolor
Lineage: Bacteria; Bacillati; Actinomycetota; Actinomycetes; Kitasatosporales; Streptomycetaceae
Description: bacterial SSU rRNA
Rfam family: Bacterial small subunit ribosomal RNA
Source: RNAcentral
GAGACGGGUCCCCCUUGUGGUCGGUGUGCAGGUGGGGCAUGGCUGUCGUCAGCUCGUGUCGUGAGAUGUUGGGUAAGUCCCGCAACGAGCGCAACCCUUGUCCUGUGUUGGCAGCAUGCCCUUCGGGGUGAUGGGGACUCACGGGAGACUGCCGGGGUCAACUCGGAGGAAGGUGGGGACGACGUCAAGUCGUCAUGCCCCUUAUGUCUUGGGCUGCACACGUGCUACAAUGGCCGGUACAAUGAGCUGCGAUACCGUGAGGUGGAGCGAAUCUCAAAAAGCCGGUCUCAGUUCGGAUUGGGGUCUGCAACUCGACCCCAUGAAGUCGGAGUCUCUAGUAAUCGCAGAUCAGCA